This 582-nucleotide ribosomal RNA is filed under the name Triticum aestivum (bread wheat). Its description in RNAcentral is "partial small subunit ribosomal RNA". Lineage: Eukaryota; Viridiplantae; Streptophyta; Magnoliopsida; Poales; Poaceae. The record is from RNAcentral.
AUGUGCAUCCGAUGCGGGCUACCUGGACAUGUUUCCUCCCAGUGCAAGAGGUCGCGCAGUCCCGUCUCGGCGGAUGAGCUCUGUCGCGCGGUGAUCUCCAAGGUUGCCAGGACCGGGCCGGUGCCGGCGUCGCUGCACAAUGUGGGGGGGUUGCUGACGGAGCCUAGGCAGGACGCACCGCGUGUGCUGCCUUUGCCAGUUCCGCCCAGCUUCCCUCCCAUGGUGCCCGCCUACACUACCUCGGCCCCGGCGGCGGCGGAGGUCUGCAUCUUGGCGCGCUCUGAGGGGAUGGAUGACCUUGAGCGCCGGCCGCAGCUGGCCAUGGUGGCUUAUGUCGGGGGAUCACGGCCGUCGGUUUCAUGUGUGGAUGCAGCUAUAGCAAUCUCUGAAGAGCUCAACAUCCCGCGCCAUUGCUUCUCGGUGCACAAAUAUCACCCGGAGGAUUUCCUCAUCGUGUUUGCUUCGCGUGAACUCCGGAAUAGAGCAUUGGCCAGUCCAUCGGUGGAGCACCAGGGUUUCAAGCUCUUCAUCAAGCCGUGGUUGAGGCAGGCUCAGGCAAAAUCCAGAUUGAUGCGUGUUUAG